RNAcentral lists this unclassified non-coding RNA (253 nucleotides) under uncultured Halomonadaceae bacterium. RNAcentral's name for it is "contains 16S-23S intergenic spacer region". It matches the Rfam family "Bacterial small subunit ribosomal RNA", at positions 524 to 776 of the family's 1533-position model. Lineage: Bacteria; Pseudomonadati; Pseudomonadota; Gammaproteobacteria; Oceanospirillales; Halomonadaceae. The record is from RNAcentral.
UACGGAGGGUGCGAGCGUUAAUCGGAAUUACUGGGCGUAAAGCUCGCGUAGGCGGCGUGAUAAGCCGGGUGGGAAAGCCCCUGGCUCAACCUGGGAACUGCAUCCGGAACUGUCAGGCUAGAGUGCAGGAGAGGAAGGUAGAAUUCCCGGUGUAGCGGUGAAAUGCGUAGAGAUCGGGAGGAAUACCAGUGGCGAAGGCGGCCUUCUGGACUGGCACUGACGCUGAGGUGCGAAAGCGUGGGUAGCAAACAGG